Molecule: ribosomal RNA, 530 nt
Filed under: Aspergillus oryzae
Lineage: Eukaryota; Fungi; Ascomycota; Eurotiomycetes; Eurotiales; Aspergillaceae
Description: eukaryotic LSU rRNA
Rfam family: 5.8S ribosomal RNA (bases 148-301)
Source: RNAcentral
CCCGUGUUUACUGUACCUUAGUUGCUUCGGCGGGCCCGCCAUUCAUGGCCGCCGGGGGCUCUCAGCCCCGGGCCCGCGCCCGCCGGAGACACCACGAACUCUGUCUGAUCUAGUGAAGUCUGAGUUGAUUGUAUCGCAAUCAGUUAAAACUUUCAACAAUGGAUCUCUUGGUUCCGGCAUCGAUGAAGAACGCAGCGAAAUGCGAUAACUAGUGUGAAUUGCAGAAUUCCGUGAAUCAUCGAGUCUUUGAACGCACAUUGCGCCCCCUGGUAUUCCGGGGGGCAUGCCUGUCCGAGCGUCAUUGCUGCCCAUCAAGCACGGCUUGUGUGUUGGGUCGUCGUCCCCUCUCCGGGGGGGACGGGCCCCAAAGGCAGCGGCGGCACCGCGUCCGAUCCUCGAGCGUAUGGGGCUUUGUCACCCGCUCUGUAGGCCCGGCCGGCGCUUGCCGAACGCAAAUCAAUCUUUUCCAGGUUGACCUCGGAUCAGGUAGGGAUACCCGCUGAACUUAAGCAUAUCAAUAAGGCGGAGGA